Homo sapiens (human) is the source of this 383-nucleotide long non-coding RNA. RefSeq lists it as uncharacterized. The transcript is spliced from 4 exons. The record is from RefSeq and is a predicted model, not a curated record. Lineage: Eukaryota; Metazoa; Chordata; Mammalia; Primates; Hominidae.
GUUUCACUGAAACCUCAUGAGUGACCUUGAGCCAGAAACAGCCAGCUAAGCCACUCUUGGAUUCCAGACCUUCAAAAACUAUGAGUGUGCCUGGGCCCUCAGCUAUUGGGGAUGAGAAGGGAUGCGGAGUGGGAGGCAGUCCACAUGUCUGUUCCAACAAAGCUCAGAGGCUUUGCAACACAGAUUAGAAAGCGGGGGAGGGGGAGCCUCAAGAGUCCCUUGACAGUUACAUCAAAGGAAGAAAAGAAGGAGAGAAGAAAGGUGACUAUCAGGAGAAUUUUCCAGCCAGAAGAAAGACACAGAGGCACAGGCAUUUCAUGGCCUGAAAAAGGAAGAGCACAGAGACAAGUGUGGCUCCAGUUAAAGGACCAGCGGAGAUGAAA